GAUGAACGCUGGCGGCGUGCUUAACACAUGCAAGUCGAACGAAGCACCUUAUUCUGAUUUCUUCGGAAUGAAAAAUUUGGUGACUGAGUGGUGGACGGGUGAGUAACGCGUGGGUAACCUGCCUCAUACAGGGGGAUAACAGUUAGAAAUGACUGCUAAUACCGCAUAAGACCACAGCACCGCAUGGUGCAGGGGUAAAACCUCCGGUGGUAUGAGAUGGACCCGCGUCUGAUUAGGUAGUUGGUGGGGUAACGGCCUACCAAGCCGACGAUCAGUAGCCGACCUGAGAGGGUGACCGGCCACAUUGGGACUGAGACACGGCCCAAACUCCUACGGGAGGCAGCAGUGGGGAAUAUUGCACAAUGGGGGAAACCCUGAUGCAGCGACGCCGCGUGAGCGAUGAAGUAUUUCGGUAUGUAAAGCUCUAUCAGCAGGGAAGAAAAUGACGGUACCUGACUAAGAAGCACCGGCUAAAUACGUGCCAGCCGCCGCGGUAA
RNAcentral lists this ribosomal RNA (497 nucleotides) under uncultured bacterium. Its description in RNAcentral is "partial 16S ribosomal RNA". It matches the Rfam family "Bacterial small subunit ribosomal RNA", at positions 28 to 523 of the family's 1533-position model. The record is from RNAcentral.